Molecule: transfer-messenger RNA, 357 nt
Filed under: Pseudomonadales
Lineage: Bacteria; Pseudomonadati; Pseudomonadota; Gammaproteobacteria
Also listed under: 1 other name
Description: UBA4421 sp002727775 Standard tmRNA
Rfam family: transfer-messenger RNA
About the family: Bacterial tmRNA, also known as 10Sa RNA or SsrA, is named for its dual tRNA and mRNA-like properties. Its role is to liberate the mRNA from a stalled ribosome.
Source: RNAcentral
GGGGGCGACAUGGUUUCGACGAGGGUAUCGAAACUUGCGGUGCAUGCCGAGAGGGUUGUGACUCUCGUAAAACAAUCGCAGUAACUUUUAUAGUUGCCAACGACGAAAACUACGCACUAGCGGCCUAAAAAACCCGCUUACGUCGAUGAUCCGUUUCCUGCUAGGAGAAAUCGACGGCAAAGCAGCAGGAUCGCAGCAAGGACUUGCUCAAGGCCGAACUGUUAGAACUAAACGAGCUCGCUGACUACACCCUGACCGCCGGGUCGUAAGAGGCUAAAUCAAUAGACGGAAUCUAAGCAUGUAGAGCCAAUAGCAGAGAGCCAGCGGACGCGGGUUCAAUUCCCGCCGCCUCCACCA